Molecule: long non-coding RNA, 970 nt
Organism: Tupaia belangeri chinensis (Chinese tree shrew)
Lineage: Eukaryota; Metazoa; Chordata; Mammalia; Scandentia; Tupaiidae
Exons: 3
Source: RefSeq, a predicted model, not a curated record
CGCUUCUCGUCCGGCGUGGGGUAGCGGUUGCCGCGGUAGCAGGCCUUGAGCGCGGCGCGGGAGCGCUCCUUGAAGCAGUAGACCGUCUCCUCGCCGUCCCAGAUGGUCUUGGGCAGCGGGAACUUCUUGCGCAGCCGUCUGCAGGAGCUGGCGCGCUUCCUCCUCCUCCUCUUCGGUCGCCGCCGCCGCCACCGCCUCCCCCCCGGCCGCCGGCCCCGCGCUCGGCUCCGCAGGCAAGCUCUCCGCCAAGCCAUUGGCCGCUUCCACUCGUCUUCUGAUUGGCCCACUGAAUAGCCUCUGGCCCAACUGAGAAGACAGCAAAGACGCGGCGGAGCCCUGGGCUUUGGGCAGACGAGAGGACCUUUAAUUCGCGAGGGACGGGGGUGGGGUCCUGGGUGGGGACAGACAAUAAAUACUGAGGAAUGUCGGGGUCUCAGUGCAUCCAAAACGUGGAUUAAGGUGCAGGGGUCCUGUUCGGCGGGCCGGAGGACAAUGUCAAUAAAUAGCCAAACCGCCGAGAGCGGCGGAGCCGGCUGUGGCUCCGAGAGCAGCACACGUGAGGAGGAAGGCGAGGGAGUCCCCGAAAAAGCGGGGCUGGCAAAAGCAGAAGGUUUUCGAGAGAUGGGCAGAAGUCGCGCUGGACAUUCGGCGCGGGAACAGGACGUUCCCCGGAGGAGGGCCUCAUGCACAAGGAUUUGUGUUUUGGGAGCCCAAGUGCGUGGGUGCGUGCAGGGGAAAGACGGAUGGCCGCGCCCCAGCCUGCCGCCUUCUCGGGGCUGCAGGUUGCCCAUCCACGCCGGGGCCUCUGCCCGACCUGAGGAAAGAAGUGGUCCACAUUCCCCCAGCAGCAGCAUUCCCGACUACUCGCCCUCCACGAGCCCCGCCGCCGUCCGCAGACCUGGCUCCUUCCUCCCCGGCCGCCAGGGGGCGGGCCCGGAUCACAGGACUGGAGCAGGUGCGAACUCCGCUG